AGUCUAACUUAAAAGCUCGCGAUUUCCUGAAAUCCUUUCCCUCAAAUCCUCCCUGCUUUCCCUCCUUCGGAUUCCUCCUUUCUUUCCCUUUUGCCUCCUUCACUCCACAAACAUCAAAAUAGCCCCAAAGUCAAAGAGCCUUCAACUCUCUCUGAAUCUUGCUCCGAUUGAACUAGAAAUCAAUCAUUUCAGAUUGAGAAUGAGUUCCACCUACAUAUCGAGCUACGUCAACGAUGCCCGAGUCCACUUUAGAGCCACCUACGUGAACCUCUAAAAGUGGCAGGAAUCCGAUACCAAGCUCGUGAGAUCAGUGGGCUCCGCAGCGCGCGACGGCACCGUCGGCCGGCCUAGGGUGGUGGACAGCAUCUCCUGUCGGCAAAUGUACCUGAGGAGCUACACAUUCUCCAGGAAGGAGACCGUGUUGGAGAAGACCAGGAAGUGCUUGGGCAGAGUGAAGGAGAGGGUGACAGGGUGACCCAUAGCGGCUGGCAGCGUCGAAUUGCAGAUGAGGGCAGAGGUGGCGGGCGUCGGAGGAGGUGCCGAGAGAUGAGCAGGGUGAAGGAGGUGUCGUGCGCAGCCGACCUUGUAUGCCAUAUUCCACCGGCUGCUGUCAUGCAUCACCACCGUAGAUGUCAUCAAUGGCUUUGUCUAUUCUGCUGAAUCUGUUCGAAUUCCUAGUAGAUCCAUUAUCAAAUUUAUCCGGUAUCAUUCUCUUACUCGCUUGUGAUUUCUCCCCUUGACUCUCUCGACUUGUAACUUCUCAAACCAAGAGGAAGGAACAAGGGGAACACCAAAUCAAAGGUAGCCAUGAAUCGUAUCAUAUGUUUUCUUCUCUUUGAUAGUUUAUGUUCAAAUGUUUGACUUUUGAUUCACCGAUAAUGAACUGCUGUUGGGAACAAUUUGGAUUUUUAGUAUUAUAUUUUCUUCUCUCCAUUUCAUGGGCAGUUUUAAUGGAGGAUAUUUUCUGUUUCUCUAGCUAGGAAGUGGAAGAUCCCUUAAUUUUAAUCCAUGAGAAAAAAAUAUCCACCCUAAAUGUUGUGGUGAAAGUAUUGGAGCUAGCGUUAAAGGUAAGUUGUUAUUUUCAUGGCCUAUUAAAAGUUCACAUGUUAUCUGAUGUCAUUGUUUAUGCAAUUUAAUUGAUAUUCCUCAAAGUAAAAGGUAUUUACUGAUUGUUGCUGAAGACGUGAAAAGUGAUGCUCUGGAAACUCUUAUUCUGAACAAGAUUCAUGUUGGAAUAAAGGUUUUGUCUUAUGUUAUAUAUAAUUUUUUUUAUUUGUUUAAUGAAGUUACUAUUGGUUGUAGGAUGCAUUUUUUUUUUUUUAAUUUAAUGGUUGUGUGAUUAUGGAUUUAUUGAAGGUUUGUGCCGUUAACGUUUCUUAAGAGUAUUUCCUAUUAUGAAAGUGCUGGUUUGUGGUUUAUUGAAUUCUUAUUUGAAUGAUACUGAUAAAAUUGGGCUGUAUUUUAGAAAUAGUAAUUUAGGCCUCUGCAGAAGUACUGCCAUGUUCACUGGGCAGUGGUGUGAAUAGCUACAGUUAUUUAACUGUAACAUCUUAGUCAGGAAGUUUGCUUCUCUGAAGUAAUUUAAAAUGAUUUUUUUAGACCAUAUGCUAACUGUGGAAUACAGUUUUGUUUGCUUGUUUUCUUUUGAUGUUUCCAGAUACAAGAAUCUUUCUCUGAUGUCAUACAUUUUUAUUUUGUAGUGAAGGAGAAUUUUCAUCAACUGCAUAUCAUGAUCUACUUGGACAACAUGUUGUGUUUGCUGAACAUACAGUCGUGUCAUCUACUGCGCAUCGAUGCCCAUAUAUUGUUUUCUAGUGGUGUUGCUGUUUUGAACGUCAGUAUCACUAAAGGCAAUAAAUUAAUUCAAUUCUCCUGUGGAUAGGACUAGAAGAAAAUAAUUAACUCACAUCCACAUGCAGGGUUUGGAGAUACUAUUAGGCCUUUCCAUUAUUGUUACUUUAAUGUGAUAGACCACUAGUAAAAGAGCAAAAAUAGUGAUAGAAAUUUUCCUUCGCAGAUUGGAGGAGAUUGGUGUUCAGAUUAUCCAAAAUGCUCUUAAGGUUUCAAUCUUCUAUAUUUUCUUUUUGAUUGCUAAAUAUUUUAUUUAGAUUUAAUUUCUUUUUUUCAAAACGUUGAAUUGGAAUCUAUUUGACUGAAGGCUGAAUGAAACUUAAGUAAAAAAAUUCUAUGGUAUUGAUAACAA
Molecule: long non-coding RNA, 2203 nt
Organism: Malania oleifera
Lineage: Eukaryota; Viridiplantae; Streptophyta; Magnoliopsida; Santalales; Ximeniaceae
Exons: 3
Source: RefSeq, a predicted model, not a curated record